AUGAUUUGAUUUAAUUUUUAGGAGCGAACGCGAUGGUCUUGAAGUUGUUAGAAAUCCAAAGAGGCCUAUCGGCGCUUGGAUACAUUACUAUAACGAUCAAUUAGCCAUGAUGAAAGAGAAGGAUAAAGGAGUGAAGAUAAAUGAUGAUUUGAGGAAAAAAUUGGGCAAGAAGUGGAAUGCACUUUCAAAAGUAGAAAAAGAAAAUUUCAUGGCAAAGUCCAAAGAAAGUUCAAAACAAUAUUCACUUCAAAAGGGUGUGGUU
This is a long non-coding RNA of Vitis vinifera (wine grape), 262 nucleotides long. RefSeq lists it as uncharacterized. The record is from RefSeq and is a predicted model, not a curated record. The transcript is spliced from 3 exons. NCBI's taxonomy places the organism in Eukaryota, Viridiplantae, Streptophyta, Magnoliopsida, Vitales, Vitaceae.